ACCUCCUCUCCCGGCCCGAACUCAGAUCAAGUAACAUUUUAAACCCGACCGUUCUCUGCUUCAAAUAUUUUUAAAUUGCUGUGGUAUUUUGACUAUACAAAGGUAUUGAAAUAAGACUUUAAUUGAGUGCUAAGAGAAUGGAAUUUCAUAAAAUUUCUUUUUUAAUUUUAAAAAUUGAAAUUAAUUUUAUAUGUGAAGAAACAAUAAUAAAAAUUAAGGACAAGAAGACCCUAAGAAUUUUAAAAAUUUCAAUAUAAUAUAAUAUUAUAUUGAAAUUUUUUAAUUGGGGCGAUUAUUAAAUAUUAAAAACUUUAAUUUUUUUAAAAAAGAACCAAUAUUAUUGGUUAUUUGAGAAAAUACUCUAGGGAUAACAGCGUAAUAAUUUUUGAUAGUUCUUAUAGACAAAAUAGUUUGCGACCUCGAUGUUGGAUUAGGAUUCUUUUUUAAUGAAGAAGUAAAAAAAGAAGUUUGUUC
RNAcentral lists this ribosomal RNA (474 nucleotides) under Amblyomma maculatum (Gulf Coast tick). RNAcentral describes it as "partial 16S ribosomal RNA". Lineage: Eukaryota; Metazoa; Arthropoda; Arachnida; Ixodida; Ixodidae. The record is from RNAcentral.